Molecule: transfer RNA, 78 nt
Filed under: Morchella punctipes
Lineage: Eukaryota; Fungi; Ascomycota; Pezizomycetes; Pezizales; Morchellaceae
Also listed under: 9 other names
Description: tRNA-Lys
Rfam family: tRNA
About the family: Transfer RNA (tRNA) molecules are approximately 80 nucleotides in length. Their secondary structure includes four short double-helical elements and three loops (D, anti-codon, and T loops).
Source: RNAcentral
GCCUCGCUAGCUCAAUCGGUAGAGCGUGAGACUCUUAUUGUAAUCUCAAGGUUGCGGGUUCGACCCCCGCGUGGGGCU